GUAGGUGGCAAGCGUUGUCCGGGAAUUAUUGGGGCGUAAAAGCGCGCGCAGGCGGUUCUUUAAGUCUGAUGUGAAAGCCCACGGGCUCAACCGUGGAGGGUCAUUGGAAACUGGAGAACUUGAGUACAGAAGAGGAAAGCGGAAUUCCACGUGUAGCGGUGAAAUGCGUAGAGAUGUGGAGGAACACCAGUGGCGAAGGCGGCUUUCUGGUCUGUAACUGACGCUGAGGCGCGAAAGCGUGGGGAGCAAACAGGAUUAGAUACCUGGUAGUGCACGCCGUAAACGAUGAGUGCUAAGUGUUAGGGGGUUUCCGCCCCUUAGUGCUGCAGCUAACGCAUUAAGCACUCCGCCUGGGGAGUACGGCCGCAAAGGCUG
Molecule: ribosomal RNA, 375 nt
Filed under: uncultured organism
Description: partial 16S ribosomal RNA
Rfam family: Bacterial small subunit ribosomal RNA
Source: RNAcentral